RNAcentral lists this ribosomal RNA (253 nucleotides) under uncultured bacterium. Its description in RNAcentral is "partial 16S ribosomal RNA". It matches the Rfam family "Bacterial small subunit ribosomal RNA", at positions 524 to 776 of the family's 1533-position model. The record is from RNAcentral.
UACAGAGGUCUCGAGCGUUAGGCGGAAUCACUGGGCGUAAAGCGUGCGCAGGCGGUUGUGCAAGACCGAUGUGAAAUCCCCGGGCUUAACCUGGGAAUGGCAUUGGUGACUGCACGGCUAGAGUGUGUCAGAGGGGGGUAGAAUUCCACGUGUAGCAGUGAAAUGCGUAGAGAUGUGGAGGAAUACCGAUGGCGAAGGCAGCCCCCUGGGAUAACACUGACGCUCAUGCACGAAAGCGUGGGGAGCAAACAGG